GCGUUCGGGUAAUCGCUGUACGGUUUAAUCGUGCAGAGGAAAGUCCAUGCUCGCACAGACUGAGAUGUCUGUAGUGUUCGUGCCUGGCGAAUUCAUAAGCCAGGGCAGCUUGCUUGCAGGCUGACGGCAGGGAAAAUACCUAAGUCUAACUAGAUAUGGUAUGAAUACCUUGAAGGUGCCACAGUGACGUAGCCUUUUCAGAAAUGAAAAGGGUGGAACGAGGUAAACCCCGCGAGCGAGAAACCCAAAUUAUGGUAGGGGCACUUUCUCAGAGGAAAUGAACGAAGAGAAGGACGGAUGAUGUAUCAUCUGUAGAUAGAUGAUUACCACCUGAGUACAAGACUUAGGGUCGCUUGCAGUACAAAGGAACAAAACAUGGCUUAUAGAA
This 388-nucleotide RNase P RNA is filed under the name Niallia endozanthoxylica. Its description in RNAcentral is "Bacterial RNase P class B". It matches the Rfam family "Bacterial RNase P class B". From Rfam's summary of the family: Ribonuclease P (RNase P) is a ubiquitous endoribonuclease, found in archaea, bacteria and eukarya as well as chloroplasts and mitochondria. Its best characterised activity is the generation of mature 5'-ends of tRNAs by cleaving the 5'-leader elements of precursor-tRNAs. The record is from Rfam by way of RNAcentral. Lineage: Bacteria; Bacillati; Bacillota; Bacilli; Caryophanales; Bacillaceae.